GACGAACGCUGGCGGCGUGCUUAACACAUGCAAGUCGAACGCUGAAGACCUGGCUUUUGUUGGGUUGGAUGAGUGGCGAACGGGUGAGUAGCACGUGAGUAACCUGCCCUCUUCUUUGGGAUAACGCCCGGAAACGGGUGCUAAUACUGGAUAUUCACUGAUCUUCGCAUGGGGGUUGGUGGAAAGGUUUGUUCUGGUGGGGGAUGGGCUCGCGGCCUAUCAGCUUGUUGGUGGGGUGAUGGCCUACCAAGGCUUUGACGGGUAGCCGGCCUGAGAGGGUGACCGGUCACAUUGGGACUGAGAUACGGCCCAGACUCCUACGGGAGGCAGCAGUGGGGAAUAUUGCACAAUGGGCGAAAGCCUGAUGCAGCGACGCCGCGUGAGGGAUGGAGGCCUUCGGGUUGUAAACCUCUUUCGCUCAUGGUCAAGCCGCAACUGUGGGUUGUGGUGAGGGUAGUGGGUAAAGAAGCGCCGGCUAACUACGUG
This 486-nucleotide ribosomal RNA is filed under the name uncultured bacterium. RNAcentral's name for it is "partial 16S ribosomal RNA". It matches the Rfam family "Bacterial small subunit ribosomal RNA", at positions 28 to 507 of the family's 1533-position model. The record is from RNAcentral.